Molecule: non-coding RNA, 148 nt
Filed under: Homo sapiens (human)
Lineage: Eukaryota; Metazoa; Chordata; Mammalia; Primates; Hominidae
Source: Rfam by way of RNAcentral
GCCAGGUGUGGUGGUUCAUGCCUGUAGUCCCAGCUACUCAGGAGGCUGAGGCAAGAAGAUCACUUGAGCCCAGGAAUUUGAGGCUGCAGUGAGCUAUGAUCACACCAUUGCACUCUAGCCUGGGCAACAGAGUGAGAUUCUGUCUCUU